GACGAACGCUGGCGGCGUGCUUAACACAUGCAAGUCGAACGGAAAGGCCCUGCUUGCAGGGUACUCGAGUGGCGAACGUGUGAGUAACACGUGGGUGAUCUGCCCUGCACUUCGGGAUAAUCCUGGGAAACUGGGUCUAAUACCGUAUAGGAGCCAUUUUUAGUGUGAUGGUUGGAAAGUUUUUUCGGUGUAGGAUGAGCUCGCGGCCUAUCAGCUUGUUGGUGGGGUAAUGGCCUACCAAGGCGGCGACGGGUAGCCGGCCUGAGAGGGUGGACGGCCACAUUGGGACUGAGAUACGGCCAAGACUCCGACGGGAGGCAGCAGUGGGGAAUAUUGCACAAUGGGAGCAAGCCUGAUGCAGCGACGACGCGUGGGGGAUGACGGACUUCGGGUUGUAAACUCCUUUAGCUAGGGACGAAGCUUUUUGUGAAGGUACCUAGAUAAGAAGCACCGGCUAACUACGUG
Molecule: ribosomal RNA, 465 nt
Filed under: uncultured bacterium
Lineage: Bacteria
Description: partial 16S ribosomal RNA
Rfam family: Bacterial small subunit ribosomal RNA
Source: RNAcentral